GUCUGCUCGGGCAACUUGAACAAAAGGAGAAACUCGGAUUAACUCUCCAUCUCUCCCUCGCCUCUCCCGGGUUAUCUCAUCUUCGGCAACUUUAUCCGGAGAGAUUUACUCAACUUUCUCCGAGCUCUCCCGCCGCUUAAAAGUAAAGAGCCCCGCCGUAGGCUUCGAAGGAAAUCUGGUUUCACAGUUUAGAGAAAGGAGAAGGUCAAAACAUGGUUGUCGGGAAAAUGGGAUGGUUGCCAGAACAUCAGUCUGUGAUGGGUGCCAUACUGCAUUACUCUUUGAAUGGUGGAAUACAUCUUGGGAUUCUUCAGGGGUGCUUAACGUGGUACAAAACCGUACAGCUGCUUAGCAUCUUAAAUGUUUGCAUUCGUACAUAAUUGUUAAUGGUCUCCUGGGGGAAGUGGAAGAGUCUCUCGAAGCUGAAACUUGUGGAUAUUGUAGAAAAUGCUGCUGAGACCAGUUGGAUUAUAUCAGAACCUGACAUCAGAGUUCUGCAGCUGAUGAAAGGAGUUCACCAGACUUUUUUGUUAUGUGGUUGAUGAAGCAUUAUCCUGGGACAAUAGUAAUGAUGGAUGGAUGAACGUACUUCAGAUGCUGUGUCUGCUCCAGGUGUAAACCGAACCACCAGAAGCGUGCAAAACCAAAGCUUUCUGAGCCCCGGUGUAGUUAUUCUGGACAAGUUUCCAGCACGUGUGGAGAACACUACACCGUACACACAUCAGGACUAUAAAAAAAACAGUCGCUUUAGUCACAGAGAAGCAUGA
Molecule: long non-coding RNA, 767 nt
Organism: Manacus vitellinus (golden-collared manakin)
Lineage: Eukaryota; Metazoa; Chordata; Aves; Passeriformes; Pipridae
Source: Ensembl